AAUGCACCCAUGGGCUAAUUUUUUACUUAUCAACCGUCGAGCGGGGGAAAGGUAGCUUGCUACUGUUCCUAGCGGCGGACGGGCCGAGUAAUGCUUAGGAAUCUGCCUAUUAGUGGGGGACAACAUUCCGAAAGGAAUGCUAAUACCGCAUACGUCCUACGGGAGAAAGCAGGGGACCUUCGGGCCUUGCGCUAAUAGAUGAGCCUAAGUCGGAUUAGCUAGUUGGUGGGGUAAAGGCCUACCAAGGCGACGAUCUGUAGCGGGUCUGAGAGGAUGAUCCGCCACACUGGGACUGAGACACGGCCCAGACUCCUACGGGAGGCAGCAGUGGGGAAUAUUGGACAAUGGGGGGAACCCUGAUCCAGCCAUGCCGCGUGUGUGAAGAAGGCCUUAUGGUUGUAAAGCACUUUAAGCGAGGAGGAGGCUACUAGUAUUAAUACUACUGGAUAGUGGACGUUACUCGCAGAAUAAGCACCGGCUAACUCUGUGCCAGCAGCCGCGGUAAUACAGAGGGUGCGAGCGUUAAUCGGAUUUACUGGGCGUAAAGCGUGCGUAGGCGGCCAUUUAAGUCAAAUGUGAAAUCCCCNGAGCUUAACUUGGGAAUUGCAUUCCAUACUGGAUGGCUAGAGUAUGGGAGAGGAUGGUAGAAUUCCAGGUGUAGCGGUGAAAUGCGUAG
RNAcentral lists this ribosomal RNA (676 nucleotides) under Moraxellaceae bacterium pff-3-10-01. Its description in RNAcentral is "bacterial SSU rRNA". It matches the Rfam family "Bacterial small subunit ribosomal RNA", at positions 28 to 693 of the family's 1533-position model. The record is from RNAcentral. Lineage: Bacteria; Pseudomonadati; Pseudomonadota; Gammaproteobacteria; Moraxellales; Moraxellaceae.